Molecule: small nuclear RNA, 107 nt
Organism: Jaculus jaculus (lesser Egyptian jerboa)
Lineage: Eukaryota; Metazoa; Chordata; Mammalia; Rodentia; Dipodidae
Source: Ensembl
GUUCUCACUUUGGCAGCAUAUAUACGAAAAUUGAAACAAUACAGAGAAGAUUAGCAUGGCCCCUGCACAAGAAUGAUAUGCAAAUUUGCAAAGCAUUCCAUAUUUUU